This 253-nucleotide ribosomal RNA is filed under the name uncultured bacterium. RNAcentral's name for it is "partial 16S ribosomal RNA". It matches the Rfam family "Bacterial small subunit ribosomal RNA", at positions 524 to 776 of the family's 1533-position model. The record is from RNAcentral.
UACAGAGGGGGCAAGCGUUAUUCGGAAUUAUUGGGCGUAAAGGGCGCGUAGGCGGCAUGGCAAGUGGAUGGUGAAAUCCCUCGGCUUAACCGAGGAACUGCCGUCCAAACUGCUUCGCUUGAGACCGGGAGAGGUGAGUGGAAUUCCCAGUGUAGCGGUGAAAUGCGUAGAUAUUGGGAGGAACACCAGUGGCGAAGGCGGCUCACUGGACCGGUACUGACGCUGAUGCGCGAAAGCGUGGGGAGCGAACAGG